Abrus precatorius (Indian licorice) is the source of this 85-nucleotide small nucleolar RNA. RefSeq annotates it as small nucleolar RNA Z43. Lineage: Eukaryota; Viridiplantae; Streptophyta; Magnoliopsida; Fabales; Fabaceae. The transcript has a single exon. The record is from RefSeq and is a predicted model, not a curated record.
GGAUGGUGACGAUUUCUAUGUAAUUAAGGUCUCGUUCGUCGUAUUUGGCCUAAUCGGUCAUGCCGACCACCCAUAUUCCGAGUCC